UACGUAGGUCCCGAGCGUUGUCCGGAUUUAUUGGGCGUAAAGCGAGCGCAGGUGGUUUAUUAAGUCUGGUGUAAAAGGCAGUGGCUCAACCAUUGUAUGCAUUGGAAACUGGUAGACUUGAGUGCAGGAGAGGAGAGUGGAAUUCCAUGUGUAGCGGUGAAAUGCGUAGAUAUAUGGAGGAACACCGGUGGUGAAAGCGGCUCUCUGGCCUGUAACUGACACUGAGGCUCGAAAGCGUGGGGAGCAAGCAGG
RNAcentral lists this ribosomal RNA (252 nucleotides) under uncultured bacterium. RNAcentral's name for it is "partial 16S ribosomal RNA". It matches the Rfam family "Bacterial small subunit ribosomal RNA", at positions 524 to 776 of the family's 1533-position model. The record is from RNAcentral.